CUAACUUUGAUGUUGGUUUGAGAAAGCCAUGCAGUCUAUCAGACAGAAGGAGGUGUUCUGCAUGGUUGCUAAGAGUUUGACAUCAGCCUCUCAAAGCUUUUCAUUGCAAUGGGGGUUAAUGCCACAGUAAGACAACUGUACAAUUUCUUUGUGAUUAGUUGCACUUUAUUAUUUGCAUUUAUCAUUGUUUUCCCUGAUAUCAGUGACCCAUCAGAACAGACCUGAGAACCAUCUGAGAACCACUGCUGUAGGGAUCAUGAAUGAGAUGAAAAAGCACACAUCAUGUCAAGCUCAUAUCAUAAGAGUGUGAUGUGAGGAUGAGAUGGAUCCAGCACGUUUGCUAUAAUGAUGUUUGUUCCUCUUUGUCAGGGCGUUUGCUUUGACCUGGAUAUUCCCCAGACUUUACGGCUGGAGUUGGCCAAAGCCAACACCAAGAUGGUCAAGAACAACUAGUAGGAAUGCUAAACCCUUCGGCAUCCAGACAGAGUCCUGCACCUCUGUGUCAGUCGAGAGCCCUAUGAGUUGAGUGUUCCUGCGCUGUACACCAGCAGUCCUGAGGUGUGGGCUUCAUACCUGCUGUACCCCGCUGAGCUGCCUCCACCAGCAUACGCCUUCAGCUCCUCGCUGCACGCUCAGAAAUGGAGAAGCAGAUGAUCUGCCUCCAGUGUUUGUGUCAGAUUCGCUGGCUGCCGACCGUUCUGUUGACGUCUGUAUACAGAUGCCUGAAACCAGAAACAAGAAGUGAGAGACUGUUAUCUCUGAUCUCAGGCUGCUGUGAACCACAGAACACAAGAACAGACCUCUCUCUCCUGGACGUCCCUUCUUACAUUGUGUGUCAACUUUAUUAUAGUUAAUAUAUGUAUGAACUAUGAUCAUUUAUAAUGUUAUUCUUAUUGGUUCAAUCAAUAAUUACUGUAAGUUCUAACGGGGUUGAUGCAUGAUGCCUUGCCAAAAAGAUUGCAAUAUUUACACAUUUUUAGAUAUCAUAUUGCAUAUUCUCUUUUUUAUCAUUAUUAUUAUUCUUAAGGAGCAAAAUAAGUAUUUUUAUAAUGAAUUAAAUGAAAUGUUUUUGGUGCCAUUUUAGUGUAAUUUCUAUAUGUUGUUUCUUAUAUGUACAAUAAUGUUUUUGAUGUUUUAUUGAGCUUUCAUUAAUCUGCUUAAAUCAUUAAAAACACAUUGUGAGACCUGUUUGAAAACAGGCUGAGAGACUCGUUUAAUGUUUAAAUAUAGUUAGAGAAACUUUGUCCCCCUCAGAUGUACUAAUAAGCAGUGUUUCUGCAGGCCGGAGAACAUGCUGCUGGAUAUAAACCAGUGCUCUGCUGGAGUUCUGGCAAAUGUUGUGGUUACAAGCUUUUCCACUUUCAGCCUUAAAAAACCUUAUUAUAUUUGUGCUAGUCUGUGUCUAAUUGUGUCCUCUGGAAUCAAAACAUUCAUG
Molecule: long non-coding RNA, 1435 nt
Filed under: Sinocyclocheilus anshuiensis
Lineage: Eukaryota; Metazoa; Chordata; Actinopteri; Cypriniformes; Cyprinidae
Description: lncRNA (ENSSANG00000002591.1)
Source: RNAcentral